CUUGUUUAUUGCAGGUGCUCAGCUUAGUAUCUUGUGUUUAUUAAGGAUGCUCAGCUUAGUAUAUCUUGUUUAUUAUAGGUGCACAGUUUAGUAUAUCUUGACUAUUGCGAGUACACAGCUUAGUACAUCUUGUUUAUUGUGGGUGCUCAGCUUAGUGUAUCUUGUUUAUUGCGGGUGCACAGCAUAGUAUACCUUAUUUAUUG
Non-coding RNA from Pelobates cultripes (western spadefoot toad), 203 nucleotides. NCBI's taxonomy places the organism in Eukaryota, Metazoa, Chordata, Amphibia, Anura, Pelobatidae. The record is from the annotation of a GenBank genome assembly.